UCUGAGCACAGCCAGCUAUAA
Molecule: unclassified non-coding RNA, 21 nt
Filed under: Mus musculus (house mouse)
Lineage: Eukaryota; Metazoa; Chordata; Mammalia; Rodentia; Muridae
Description: oocyte_clustered_small_RNA11618
Source: RNAcentral